UGACCAAUCAAGCUCUGCUUGGCCUUGGGGCCUGCUAUACCGGCGGUCCUUAAAACCAGUGGCGGUGCCGUCUGGCCCUAAGCGUAGUAAUUCUCCUCGCUAUAGAGCUCUAGACGUCUACUCGCCAGAACCCCCAACUUCUCAAGG
RNAcentral lists this unclassified non-coding RNA (147 nucleotides) under uncultured Helotiales. Its description in RNAcentral is "sequence contains ITS2". The record is from RNAcentral. Lineage: Eukaryota; Fungi; Ascomycota; Leotiomycetes; Helotiales.